RNAcentral lists this long non-coding RNA (854 nucleotides) under Heterocephalus glaber (naked mole-rat). Its description in RNAcentral is "lncRNA (ENSHGLG00100040057.1)". Lineage: Eukaryota; Metazoa; Chordata; Mammalia; Rodentia; Bathyergidae. The record is from RNAcentral.
GAAAGACUUGGAGGAGGAGGGGCGGGCUCGGGGCAGCUGGGAGCCAGGUCUAGCAGCAGGUUGCUGGCGGCCUGGGAGCAAACCCGAAAGGAUGGGCUGGAGCUGCUAGGAAAGGUCUUGGCCCCACCCUCAAUCUGUACAUUGAAGUCGAAGCCCCAGGACACCUCUGAAUGUGUCCGCAUUUGCAGGCACAGCCUUUAGGCAGGACAUCAGGGUUGAGGGAGGUCCUGUGCUGGGCCCUAUUCAAUAUGAAUGCUGUCCCACAGAAAGAAAGAGACCACUCUGGGAGGCUGAGGCAGGAGGGUCACAAGUUUAAGCUCAGCUUGGGCAAGUUGGUGAUGUAGCAAGACCUUGUCUGAAAAUGAAAAGUGAAAAAAAAGGAGGCCCUGGGUUCAAUGCUGAGAGAGAGAGAGAGAGAGAGAGAGAGAGAGAGAGAGAGAGAGAGAGAGAGAGAGAGAAUAUUCACACACAGAAAAAACACUAGGUGAAGAGCCAGCAAGGGGCAGCCAUGUGUAAGCUCACAGAGAGGCCUCACAAGAGCCACCCUGCCCGUGUCUUGGCCUUGGCCUUCCGGCUUCCAAAACGCCUCUAACCUGGCUCUGACCAGGAGAUAACAGCGUGUAAACCUCAGAUGAGGGGUAUUCUACAGCACAACUGAGCGGCACUUCUCAAAACUGUCAAAGGCAUAGGAGACAGGGAAGUCUGAGAAACUUUCGGGCCAAGAGGAGCCAAAGGAGAGACAGUGACUAAAGUGAUUGAGGCAAGAGGAUCACAAGUUCAAGGCUAACCUGGGCAACACAGCAAGACCUUGUCUCCAAGUAAAAGGGCAAGAAAUAAAAAGUAAUAGAAGUCUC